UACGUAGGUGGCAAGCGUUGUCCGGAAUUACUGGGCGUAAAGCGUGCGCAGGCGGUUUCUUAAGUCAGAUGUGAAAGCCCCCGGCUCAACUGGGGAGGGUCAUUCGAUACUGUUCGACUCGAAGGCAGGAGAGGGAAGUGGAAUUCCCGGUGUAGUGGUGAAAUGCGUAGAUAUCGGGAGGAACACCAGUGGCGAAGGCGGGUCUCUGGGCAGUAACUGACGCUGAGGAGCGAAAGCGUGGGGAGCGAACAGG
Molecule: ribosomal RNA, 253 nt
Filed under: uncultured bacterium
Lineage: Bacteria
Description: partial 16S ribosomal RNA
Rfam family: Bacterial small subunit ribosomal RNA
Source: RNAcentral